This is a long non-coding RNA of Gallus gallus (chicken), 1698 nucleotides long. The record is from Ensembl. Lineage: Eukaryota; Metazoa; Chordata; Aves; Galliformes; Phasianidae.
CUUUAAAGCAAACGCUCAGCAGAACGAACGCUUUAUGUCAGCCUUCCUUUCCAAAGGGAGGAAAGAGCACAACCGCGCAUUUGCAGCAAAACAAGAGCAAAAAAUUCCAAAGAAUUCCCCGAUGUCCCCCAGCCCUGGAACACACAGAGCGCACCGCAGCGGAGCGGAGCAGCGCUCAGUCCGUGGGGCCGGGGGGGCUGCGGCUCAGCCACGGCGCUGGGAAUGUUACUUCACUUCAUUUGCGGCGUGGCCAAAAUUAACCUGAGAAACCUGCUCGGAGCGUGCUGCACAGUUGUGCAUUUUUCACGUGAACAUCCAAGGCAGCUCCCUUUCUCUGGGAUGUGUCAUUUCCUGUGUAGCUGGAAUAAUACAUGAGCAGUAAAGUGUCAAACCACAAAGAAAGCGAUAUAAUUAGCGCUGGUACCCACUACAAACCCGGAUCUCUGAAGAGAGACCAGCGCAGCUUUUCAAACGCCUACCAUUUUGAAAUCAGGAAAAAAAAAAAAAAAUCUAACAGACACAAGAAUCCCUCUUGAAUCCCCCUUGGCCCUUUUGAAUUCACGCCCUGCCUUACAUCAAACGCUUUUUUUGCUGAUUAACUGCACAAUCAGGUCCCUGCAGAUCAGGGGAAGAAUGGAGAAGAGAAAAGCAACCUCUUUUCCAGAGAACAAUACCAUUAUUUCAGCUCCAUUGGACAGGAAUGUGUGAUUUCACAGCCCACUGCCCUUCUCUCCCAUCUCCAAAAACACUGCCAGAGAUCCACAGCUCCAAUCCCCACCCAUUAGUACCCAGACCCAGCGCUUACAGCUCGGGUUCAAUAUCUGUGCGUGGGGGCUAUGCAUACAUGUACAUACAUAUAUGGAGAAAGCACCCAGAUCAGAACCACCUCCCAAGCCCAAGAAUGGGCACAAAGGAAGUUUCGUUUAUUAAGAAAGAAAGAUAGAAAAAGAGAAAGAAAGAAAGAAAGAAAGAAAGAAAGAAAGAAAGAAAGAAGAAAGAAAGAAAGAAAGAAAGAAAGAAAGAAAGAAAGAAAGAAAGAAGGAAAGAAAGAAAGAAAGAAAGAAAAUAUCCUUUUUCUUAGAUAUUGUAAAAUUCUUCUUCCCAUGUCCAUGGGUUGUGUUUUAGUGGGGUUGAGUAUAAAGGUAGUUAACAAAUGAAAGGAAAAAGUAUUUUUAAACUAAAAUCGUUCAACGGUUUAGAGAGAAACACCUUUUUAAACGCUGACUACUUAAUAAAAUGUUAGCAAAGUGGAAAAAACACGGAACUACUUUUUACCUACAAAAGGGUAUCACUUUCUUGAAGCUUGUACAGUUCAUCUGCUGCUAAAUUGGCCUCAUUUGAGCUUUAAAACCAUUUUAUUUAAAAGCAUCUGUUGAAACCAAUUGUUGAAUAGCUGAUUCCACGGGAGGAGCUAUUUAUUUGAGAGGUGAAAACAACUGCACAAACCGAGUUUUUUGCUUAACAAUACAGCAGAAAUCUUUUCAAAACCAGAAACUCACCAAGACACGUCUCUGAUAGAGAGACUGCGCCUCAGCUACUCUCCCGGCCCCUCUACUUGGUUUGUUGUUGUUGUUGUUGUUGUUUUGUUUUGUUUUGUUUUUUCAGGAAAUCCUCCAUUUCACAGUUUGCAAGGAAGAGCCCCCCCGGCAUCCCCCCCACUCCCAGCCCCCGGACCGCCGCAGCCGCUCUCACAUCCCG